Molecule: long non-coding RNA, 675 nt
Filed under: Triticum aestivum (bread wheat)
Lineage: Eukaryota; Viridiplantae; Streptophyta; Magnoliopsida; Poales; Poaceae
Description: long non-coding RNA (TAES_LNC017733)
Source: RNAcentral
UGCAAUGUAGUGUGAUGGAUAUCAGUAUAUGCAGGUACUGGCCUAGCUAGCUAGGUAGACAGAUCUGUGAAGAUGGUGGUGAAUGUAUAUGUCAUUCAGGGUUUGUAUGGAGAUCAGGAACAGAGAAAUGUAUCUAGUUCACUAGCAAGUUGCCAAGUUGAGCGAGUAACACUAUGCAAUGUAGUGUGAUGUAUAUCAGUAUAUGGCUAUAUGCAGGCACUGGCCUAGCUAGCUAGAAGAAGGUAGACAGAUCUGCAAAGAUGGAGGUGAAUGUAUUAAGUCAUUCAAGGUUCGUAUGGAGAUCAGGAACAGAGAAAUGUAUCUAGUUCACUAGCAAGUUGCCAAGUUGAGCGAGUAACACUAUGCAAUUUAGUGUGAUGUAUAUCAGUAUGUGGCUAUAUGCAGGCACUGGCCUAGCUAGCUAGAAGAAGGUAGACAGAUCUGCGAAGAUGGAGGUGAAUGUAUAUGCCAUUCAAAGGUUUAUAUGGAGAUCAGGAACAGAGAAAUGUAUCUAGUUCACUAGUAAGUUGAGCUAAUAUCAGGUUUCUACGAAUGUGUAACUCUGCUCGUUAUGUUCGUAGCUGAUCGCGGUUAUUGGAAGUGUUUGAUGGUAAAUUUAUGUCGUGAAUUUGUCAAUGACCGAAACAAUUUGAUCUUGGUACCAUAGUUCUAAAU